This is a long non-coding RNA of Manis pentadactyla (Chinese pangolin), 878 nucleotides long. RefSeq lists it as uncharacterized. The transcript is spliced from 2 exons. The record is from RefSeq and is a predicted model, not a curated record. Lineage: Eukaryota; Metazoa; Chordata; Mammalia; Pholidota; Manidae.
GCGAGACUGUAGGCUGCCGCGCCCCAAGUCUCUUUCGAAACCCUAGGGGAGGGGGUGGGGGUGCUUCCCGGUGUUCCCCGGUGCUCCUCGGUGCUCCCCGCUAUCCCGGCAAUCUGGGACGCGUGCUCGGCGCCCUCCCCUAGUCUAGCUGCUCAAAUAAACCCGACCUAGGGUUUCUCGAAGGAAUGAGUAAGCCUAAACCUCAGUCCCCUGCUGUACAGGUCUGGGAACCGCUCUCCCAAGGGAGAGUCGGGCCGAGUUGAUUAGGGGCCCACCGAAAGUCGACGCCCAGCGAGCAUUUGGAUGCCGGCCGAUCCCGUCGAGGGAACCGAAAAUAAAAUAUUUAAGUGCAGACUGUUGUGUGUUGUCGUAGUUACACUGGAGGCAAAUAGAAGACUGUGUGGCAAGUGGCUUGUAUAUGCGUCCUGGCUAGAGAAACGUAUUGGGUAGGGUUAAUAUUAACUUAAGGACUCAGGACACAGAUUGCCUUGGACAAAGUACUGAUGCUGGCCAAAGGCCCUUCCCUCUGACCCUUUCCUGAGAAGAGGUGCUGUAUAGGCAAUUCAUCUACACUCUUUGCCAUCAUGUACACAGUUUCUACCUUGAAGCCCUGUUCUACUUUGGAGUCCUGUUGUAAAGCCAAAAUAAUUACUGGGAAGUAUUUUGCCUAUGAAAGCCUUGACAAUUUUGAGGAUAAAUCCAUUUGCUGUUCUUAAAAUUAAUCCUGAUGACAGAUCUAGAUUUCCUGGUAGAAUAAGCUACAGCUAUGAUACUGGCCUUUAAAAAGUAUUUUGGUCAUCGCAUGAUGUCUUAGAGACCCACAAGGAAAACCCCAUAGUGCAUCCUUAGCCGCAUUGUGUGGUCACUGUUGGGGUAGG